Molecule: ribosomal RNA, 500 nt
Filed under: uncultured bacterium
Lineage: Bacteria
Description: partial 16S ribosomal RNA
Rfam family: Bacterial small subunit ribosomal RNA
Source: RNAcentral
AUUGAACGCUGGCGGAAUGCUUUACACAUGCAAGUCGAACGGCAGCACGGACUUCGGUCUGGUGGCGAGUGGCGAACGGGUGAGUAAUGUAUCGGAACGUGCCCAGUCGUGGGGGAUAACGUAGUGAAAAUUACGCUAAUACCGCAUACGAUCUAUGGAUGAAAGCGGGGGAUCGCAAGACCUCGCGCGAUUGGAGCGGCCGAUAUCAGAUUAGGUAGUUGGUGGGGUAAAGGCCCACCAAGCCAACGAUCUGUAGCUGGUCUGAGAGGACGACCAGCCACACUGGAAAUGAGACACGGUCCAGCAUCAUACGGGAGGCAGCAGUGGGGAAUUUUGGACAAUGGGCGAAAGCCUGAUCCAGCCAUUCCGCGUGCAGGAUGAAGGCCCUCGGGUUGUAAACUGCUUUUGUACAGAACGAAAAGGUUUCUACUAAUACUAGGGGCUCAUGACGGUACUGUAAGAAUAAGCACCGGCUAACUACGUGCCAGCCGCCGCCGUAA